This 460-nucleotide ribosomal RNA is filed under the name uncultured bacterium. Its description in RNAcentral is "partial 16S ribosomal RNA". It matches the Rfam family "Bacterial small subunit ribosomal RNA", at positions 338 to 795 of the family's 1533-position model. The record is from RNAcentral.
CCUACGGGAGGCAGCAGUGAGGAAUAUUGGUCAAUGGACGAGAGUCUGAACCAGCCAAGUAGCGUGAAGGAUGACUGCCCUAUGGGUUGUAAACUUCUUUUAUAUGGGAAUAAAACGUUCCACGUGUGGGAUUUUGUAUGUACCAUAUGAAUAAGGAUCGGCUAACUCCGUGCCAGCAGCCGCGGUAAUACGGAGGAUCCGAGCGUUAUCCGGAUUUAUUGGGUUUAAAGGGAGCGUAGGUGGAUUGUUAAGUCAGUUGUGAAAGUUUGCGGCUCAACCGUAAAAUUGCAGUUGAAACUGGCAGUCUUGAGUACAGUAGAGGUGGGCGGAAUUCGUGGUGGAGCGGUGAAAUGCUUAGAUAUCACGAAGAACUCCGAUUGCGAAGGCAGUUCACUGGACUGCAACUGACACUGAGGCUCGAAAGUGUGGGUAUCAAACAGGAUUAGAGACCCGGGUAGUC